AUGGACGAAGCGCAGGACGCGCAAAGUACAUCACAAGGACGGAACGAAGGAGACCUGCCCAGGAUGGCGGGGCGAAAGGGAAGUCAAAGGGAAACAGUCUGUAAAACCCCGCUUCGGCGGGGUUUU
This 126-nucleotide small RNA is filed under the name Pseudomonas japonica. The record is from RNAcentral. Lineage: Bacteria; Pseudomonadati; Pseudomonadota; Gammaproteobacteria; Pseudomonadales; Pseudomonadaceae.